Molecule: long non-coding RNA, 705 nt
Organism: Gallus gallus (chicken)
Lineage: Eukaryota; Metazoa; Chordata; Aves; Galliformes; Phasianidae
Source: Ensembl
CGAAGACUCUGAUUGCUAUCAGGUCCCUCAACACACAUCUAGUCUGGUAGUCAUUUAGCACAGAACCACAGUGUAAGUUAGCGAAUGAAGAUCCAGGAAGACCAUAAAUAGCUACAUUUGGAAAGUGCUAUACAUGAUCAUGAGAUCUACAUGGAAUUGAACAGACCAGCAUCAUCACGUGGUUGGCAUACAUACUCUCUCCCAUACAUGGAAAGUAGACAAACAGUAUCAGUAGAAAAGAGAGAAGUGAAAUCACCUACUUCCAGUGCACAGGAGCAGCUAAAGCAGGAAGAAGUACAAUAACAAUAACCACUGCUAGAGCUGAAGGAGCUGCUCUGAAUUCCUGAAUUGAAAAUUCGAUGCAAUUCAGCAGGACUGAAAAGACCUUGAGAGUUCUAUCUUUGUCGCUGUUCCCUUGGUUCCCCCCACAAUUUUCUGAACUAUUAAGAAAAAUAUCAUGGAAAUUUUCAAUGACCAAAGCGAGGUAAAAAAAUCUGCUAUCAAAUUGUGAGGAUACCAGUAGAGAAACAUCUGUUUGACGAGUUUUGUCUCUAGAUGCUGAUAUAUAUUUUUUUUAACUGAAAGUCAUGCUUAUCUAUAGUGACAGUGAUAUGUUGUUCACUGUUUAGAGAUUGCUCAUGAUAAAAUGAAAAGGGUUUUGUGAGUUUCUGCUGUCUCACCUUGAUCUUUAUUUGUGUCAGAAUU